This 2697-nucleotide long non-coding RNA is filed under the name Macaca mulatta (Rhesus monkey). Its description in RNAcentral is "lncRNA (ENSMMUG00000060036.1)". Lineage: Eukaryota; Metazoa; Chordata; Mammalia; Primates; Cercopithecidae. The record is from RNAcentral.
CUCAGGAACUCCGCCAGCAAUCAUUUCAUUAGGCAGGAAUGGCGUUCCCAUUACCAGAUAGCAGGCCUGCUUCUUCCCCACCAUGGCCCCCUCCCUGCUGCAAAGCCCCCUCGCAACUUCCUGCUCGCAGCAGCCACACAAGGCCUCAUUCUAAUCCUGCAGCUUGUCUGUUUAGUGUCUUUGGAGAGGGAAAAGGAGCAGAAAAGUAGCUUGUCUUUUAUUUUUAUUUGCCUUCUUUUUUUUCCCUUCCUCCAGAUAUCCCCCUGGGGCACCGGCCUAGAACAGAGCAACAAAUAUUUACUAAUUCCAUUAACAGAAGAGAGUUGGAAUUUUUUUUUCCCAAGCGAAUAUCCGAGGCCCCAAGUUCAUGUAGUGACCCAAAGUGACACUUUGGUUCACCAAGACGAAGACGCGUCCUUCCUCUCUCUAUGGAUCUUUCAGGUAGGACUGGGAGUAAAGGGAGGGAGGAUGGGAGAUGAUAGAUUUCCAAGACAGUGAGUUCUGAGAACACAGAAGCGUCUUCUGGCCAGGCCUAUUCAAUGUCUUUACCUUCCCUGCUUCUGAGGACAAACCAAUGGCACUUCUUUGCAAGGGGAAGGGAGAUCUCUUAUGGGAAGGGGGAGCUUCUUCUGAAAUGGCAACUCCUGAUCUCUGGUAAGGGAGGAUGUAGAGGAAAAAAUACUCAUGGGAUUAGGUUGAUGAAUGCUACACUGGGAACAGAUUUAGUGAUUGCAUUCAUCUCCUAGGGCUGCCCCCAGCUAAUGACCACAAACAGGUGGCUUAAAAUGAGAGAAAUGUAUUCUUCCACAGUCCUAGAGGCCAGAAGUCUAGAAUCAAGGUGUCAUCAAAGCCACGCUCCCUCUGAAGGCUCCAGGGAGGAAUCCUUCCUUGCUUCUUCCAGCUUCUGAUGGCCCCAGGCAUUCUUGGCUCAAGCCUGCAUCACUCCAAUCUCUGCUCCCAUGUUCAUAUGGCUUUCUCAAUGUGUAUCAAAUCUCCCUUUCCUUUCUCUGAUAGGGACACUUGUCCUUGGGCUUAGGGUGCACCCUAAAUUAAGGAUGAUCUCAUCCUAAGAUUCUUACAUCUGCAAAGACCCUAUUUCCAAAUAAAGCCACAUUCAUAGUUAUGUGGUGGGGGAUGUUAGGACUUGGACUUAGGUAUUCAGGAGACACCAUUAAACCUGCUACAGUGAUCAUAGAGUGCUUCUCAACAAUGCCACAUGUGGAAGCCAAUUAAAAGCAUCCUGAAGCAACACAGCUGGAGAAAUGCUCAGUGCUGAGUUCCUUCUCUUCUCGUUCCAUCCUGCUUAUUAAGGAAAAAGCCUUAGCUGGGUGCUAGGGUCCUUGAACGCUUUCUUACCCCCUUGUGAAUCCUCCUUUUUAAGAAAGAGAGAUGACAUCCCUGGGAGUCAAACUUCAGCAGGUUAAAUAAAUCCAGUAUUCCUUAUACUCUUGACUCACAUGACCUUCUAUUUAUGAAAAUAGAUACUGGUCUUCCCCUGAUGUCAUGACAUGUGGCUUCCUUUUCGAUUAAAUUAAAUUUGAGCAAUUGAUAAGCAAUUGAGUUGAGAAAAAUAUUAAGUAGAUAAAUAAUGGAAGUAGUACAUAGCCAUGGCAAGUAUGGGUUUGCUGCACAGAUUAAGGAAAACUGGGAAAUACUGAAAUGGCAUGCUGGUUUUCCACAGCAGCCCAACACUUGUGAGGUUCACCAGCACGAGGGUGGUUAAGACAGGUUCAGUCCGCUGGAGUCUGCUGUUUCUCCUUGAACCUGAGCCACUGUUUCUCAUGGUUAUAUGCAUUGGGUUUCCCCAUGAGAUUUUAUUUGGGGGUGGGAAAAAAACCCAAAGCUCCAUAACUAAAAGAAAGCUUGACACAUCAACCUUCUCUGUCACUUCACUUCUAUUUUACAGAUGAAGAAAUUAAGGCUCAGGAGGGAGGAAAAAAAAUAAAAGAAAGAAUUGUCCAAGGUCACCCAGGCAUCUGGACUCCCAUAUGUUGAGCUACUUCUGCUCAUGGGGCAGCUGCAAUACAUGAAUUCUUCACUACAUGAGUUAUUGUAUUAAGUCCUCAGAGCAGCACUGUGAAAUUGCUGGAAUUUUACAGGGGAGGAAACUGAGGCUCAGAGAGGUUAGGAGCUCAUCUGAAAUGACUGAGCUGAUAAAGAGAGGAGCUGGGAUUCCCACCCAUAUCUGACUGUCUUUGCAUCUGGUGUAUUACUGCAGCAGCCUGUUGCCUUCUCUCACUGCAUGCACACACACACAGGCGCAUGUGCAUGCACACACACACAUACACACACACAUACACAUACACACGCAGAAGGUUUCUGCACCAAAGCAUUUGGCUGAGGGCAUGCUAAGUCCUGGUCAUUUUUGCAGGCUCUGUAUUCACACACCUUGUCCAUAUGACACUUCUCUGUUGGAUCUGCUUGGAAAUUCUUGCAGGUGACAGCAUAUUUCUGGCUUAUUCUGAAGGGUAUUAAGUGCAAGAGAGACUUUCCUUCUUGGAGAAAGAAGGGGGCUGUGCGUAAAGAGAGAGAUUUUGAGCCUGAGGGUGCCAAGUUAUCGCUUUCUACUGUGGAAAUUUCUAGAUGUUGGAAGAUAAUGAAAUGAAGUCAAGUAUUUGACUUUUUUUCUUUUUAACAGCCAGAUGUUGAACCCUGACACCAUGAUCACAGGAGUGACCUGCCUCUGAUGUGUUAGCU